RNAcentral lists this transfer RNA (81 nucleotides) under Canis lupus familiaris (dog). It matches the Rfam family "tRNA". Rfam says of the family: Transfer RNA (tRNA) molecules are approximately 80 nucleotides in length. Their secondary structure includes four short double-helical elements and three loops (D, anti-codon, and T loops). RNAcentral also lists the same sequence under 1 other name. The record is from Rfam by way of RNAcentral. Lineage: Eukaryota; Metazoa; Chordata; Mammalia; Carnivora; Canidae.
GCCUGGGUGGCUCAGCGGUUGGGCGCCUGCCUUCGGUUCAGGUCUGAUCCCACGAUGUGGGAUCAAGUCCCACAUCAGACU